UCGUAGAUCGUUGAAGGUUUA
RNAcentral lists this non-coding RNA (21 nucleotides) under Arabidopsis thaliana (thale cress). Lineage: Eukaryota; Viridiplantae; Streptophyta; Magnoliopsida; Brassicales; Brassicaceae. The record is from RNAcentral.